RNAcentral lists this long non-coding RNA (23685 nucleotides) under Triticum aestivum (bread wheat). Its description in RNAcentral is "long non-coding RNA (TAES_LNC021868)". Lineage: Eukaryota; Viridiplantae; Streptophyta; Magnoliopsida; Poales; Poaceae. The record is from RNAcentral.
CUUUGACGUUGCCAUCUCCAUAGACGUGAACCUUCUCCUUGGGUGGAAGAAGGGUACGCAUUUGACAUAGGUUAGGAACAAAGUAAGCAGCAAAGCAGUUAGCAGAAAUGUAGGUGUGGGGAAUGUUUCCUUCUUCUAUCGCCCUUCUUAUCUCCAUCUUCUCAUCAAAGGUGAUCCUUCCUGGUUCAAGGGCAUGCCCCAUCCUUGCUGGGUCCAUGCCGAAUUCAGAUGGUAGGAAACGCUGCAUGUAAAAUUGUAUGUUCAUUAUGAAUGGAUGUGAGGUCAUAGUUAAUGAUGCCUCUAUCAAUUUAAAAAAAAAGAAGGAUCACCACANNNNNNNNNNNNNNNNNNNNNNNNNNNNNNNNNNNNNNNNNNNNNNNNNNNNNNNNNNNNNNNNNNNNNNNNNNNNNNNNNNNNNNNNNNNNNNNNNNNNNNNNNNNNNNNNNNNNNNNNNNNNNNNNNNNNNNNNNNNNNNNNNNNNNNNNNNNNNNNNNNNNNNNNNNNNNNNNNNNNNNNNNNNNNNNNNNNNNNNNNNNNNNNNNNNNNNNNNNNNNNNNACACACACACACACAUACACACACACGCACACAAAACGUGGUUUUUUAGCAAAAAAAAAUGUCACGCUGAUUAGGCGGUCUUAAGGUGUUAUGGCUUGUUGCUUGGGCACCGCUAAAAUAGGGAGUUUCAAGAAGGGCUUGUUUUGUUACCUGCAUCAGUUACCUAGCCAAGCUCACUCGACUCGAUGAAUUUUUUUAAGUGCUAAUAAUUUGUUCGCAUCUCCUAUUUCCAGCCCUGCCUUUUAUAGGGGAAAAUAGUGGUCUUCAUUCAUUAAUAUUCAUGGGGCGACCACUAUACAACGACAAAGCGCCACAAACUAAAUUAUAAGCAUUUACAUUAUGCUAAUAUGGCCCGCACACAACCGCCUCGGCACCUCUAGCCAAGACCUUGACAAAUCCCGCAUCAACAUUGAACUUGAACUUCAGGAAACCUUCCGGAGACUAAAUGGUACAGAAAGGACACCCUCCCGAGAGUUGUUCUCAGUAAUGGGCCCGUCUGUGUACGCUCCUUGAGUUCACGGUAAAUGGAAGGUUUUUGAAGGCUUUUGGGUCGUCUUUCCUCCAUAGGUUUAACUGAUAUUUUCUUCGGUUUUUCCUUUUAGUUUUAUUCCAAUUAUUUCUUCAAUUUUUAAAAUCCAUAUUUAAAAAAAUCAUGGACACUUUUAAUAUUGGUGAAUAUUUCUAAUUUUUUUGAACAUUUUGAAGUCCAUUAACAUUUUUCAAGACCAUGAUUUUUAAAUUCGUGAACAUAUUUUAUAUUACCAAAUAUUUUUAAAUUCAUGAAAAUUUUCUAUUUUUUUGUAAAUAUUUUUCGAAUUCAUGAACAUUUGUCAAAUCGCAAGCAUUUAAAGAAAAUUGUGAACCUUUUGAAGGCAGUGAGGGUUGAUGAGUCGAAAUUUCCUAGGGGCAAAAUAGGGCGAUAAGUUUCACACACCCAGCUCUAGCAUCCUGCUCAAGGAUAGGCCCAGAUAAGCUGAGCGGCAAGUUUCCUCCCGUUGUUGGUAAGCUUCCAAAACAUAGAAUCUAGUCUGGGUGAUUUUUUUUCAUUUUCUUUGUGCUUAUGCAGAUUUUCUCAUGUUUUCCUUCAUUUUCUCCUUUUACCUAGUUUAAUUAAACAUAAAUAUUUUUUACAAAAUACAUGAACAUUUAAAAAAAUUGGUGGAACAUAUUUUCAUAUUUGUGUUAGUUUUAUAAAAUUCAAUCAUUUAUUAAAAUUCGUGAUUUCUUUCCAACCCAUUAAGUUUACAAUAACUUACGAUGAUUUCUUUUUAAACAUUAAAAAAUAUAUAAAUUCGUUAAAUAAAUUGAAAACAUUUUCCUGAGUUGACCAAUAUAUUUUUAAAUUUGUAUUUCUUAAAAAACCUGUCAACAAUUAUUGAGGUCACCAACAUCACGGAAAGACAAGCGAAAAAAGCUAACCAGAGACAGGGGAGCGAGGGAACAACCGGAGGCGAAUACUGGGUGGCCCAUGUCACGGUUGCAAUGUUCUUUUUUCGAGAUCGUGAUUUGUUUUUCAAAACUGAUGAACUUUUCCAAAUUCAUAAUUUUUUUAAAAUUUGUGAACUUUUUGGAAAUCUGAAAAGUUUUCAAAUUCAUGAAAUUAUUUUAUCAAAAUCGAAGAACCUUUUUCAAAUCCGUGUUUUUAAAAAAAUCGGAUGAACUUUUUUUUUAUCAAAAUCGAUGAACUAAACUGUUUGCAAGUCAGUAUUUUAUUUUGAAAAUUCGGUGAACUUUUUUCAAAUUAAUGAUUGUUUUAAAUGUUUUGAUUAUUUUGUAAACUUUUUUGAGAUCCAUGAUUUUUUUAAAAUUGAUGAACUUCUCUAAAAUUCGUGAAUUCUUCUUCAAGUUUUUGUUUUCUUUUUACAAAUAUGUUUUUACUGGGACUGAGCCAUGGGCCAAUGGUGCUGUUUUUGGAUAUAACACGCCAAUGGUUAUUUAGCCAAGUUGGUGGACGCUGGAAUGCAGGUUUGAAUCGUACAUCAUGAAGAAUAACAUGGGGAAGUUUUUUUUUCUUCCUGUUUGUUUCUUUUUGAGCAUGCACUGGUUGCGAGCAAGCUGGGCUGGCCAACUACCGCUCACCGUCGAGCGCCGACUAGCCUAAGCGACGCUUAGGGCACCGAAAAGGAGCUCUCCUCCUCCGUGGCAUAUAUUAUGCGCUUUUCGAUGAAAUGGCACUGAAAUGCAUAGGGUAGAGUGAGCGAGCAACCUAAAUGGACCAUUUUGGAACAUUCUUAGCUUCUUUACAGGUUUAGGUCAAUUUUUUCUUUUUUCUUUUUCUUAUUAUCUACUGUUUCUUUUAACAGGUUUUAUUUUUAUUUUUUCAUGUUCCUUUUUUUGUGAUUUUUUUUUGCUUUUUCAAAUAGUGUUUCCUAAUGAUUGGAAAUUUUGGAAAAAGUUCGUUUUCUUAAAUCACAAAUUCAAAAAAAAUUCCCAUUCCCAAGAAUAGCUGGCAAUUUCUAAAAAUGUUUGUUCAUCAUUUUUUUAAACAUUCUCUUUUUCAAAAAUCUUUGGAAAUUCAAAUAAUGAUUGUGUUUUCAAGUUAUGUUCAGUAUUUCAGAACAGUUCAUGUUGUGAACAAUUGUUCUUAAAUUUAAAAAUGCUUCAAUUUUCGUAAUUAAAAUAUUAUGAUCGAAUUUAAAAAAACAGAUUUCAGAAAUCUUCACAUUUUCAACUCUGUUUCAAAAAUUCAAUGAAUGUUUGGAUUUGAAAAAUUGGUUUUCCCUAUAAAUGUUCAGAAAUUUCAAAAUUGUAGGGAUGCUCUGUGCUUCUAGGCGACAUUUUGAUGGACAGAGUGUCACAAAGAAGGUAGGGAUUCUUUGUGCUUCUGGGCGAAAUUGGGAUGCACAAAGUGUCACAAAGGAGCUCCUCCGGCACAUUGUACUGGAGGAAAUGCGCAUAGUAGCGAGGGACUAGGCACUUCAACACUCUGACACUGGAGCAAUUAUAUGUCUCUUUUCCCCGUUUUCUCUAAGAAGGAGGAUGCACAAUUUAGUUACAUAUUUUAAGAACGCGUAGUUACAAGAUUCUAAAGAUUGUCCACGUAUGUUAUGAAAAUAUAACAGAAUUUUAAGUGAAAUGUUCACAAUUUUUUUAGAAAACACAAAUUAUAAAAAAUACCAUUGGUAUUAUAAAUGUUAUCUUGUUUUCUGUUUUCAUGUAUUUUAAUGAUGUUCUUGAAAUUAGAAAGUUUACUAUUUAUAAAAAGUCCGUUUAUUUUCAUAAAUUUUCUUGUAUUUAAAAAUUAUUCAAGAAUUCUUAAUAAUGUUGUUGUAUCCUCAGAAAUAUUCACGGAUUCUAAAAUGGAAAAGAAAAUGAAAAGGAAAAAAGAAAUAAGUUAAAACAUUAUGAAAAAUGAAAAUAAAAAUCAAAAGGUAAAAAAUAAACCUAGAGAAAACCAGAUGGACAUGGAAUUAAAUUAAAUAAAGGAAGGAAAAAGAAAAAUAGAAACCGAAGGACCACUCAACGGAAAUUUAUUGGGAAGAUUGGAGGAAAGAAGGGGGGAAAGGAAAGAAAACCAGUGAAAACAAACAACAGAAAAGUGAAGAUUUCGUGUGGUGGUGAAGCUAUUCAAUGCUGCUAGCUAAAGUACUUGUGCAUAUCCCUGCAAAGUAAAUACUUGUGCAUAUUUUGUUGUCGACUAUUUUUUGGAAAAAGAGACAUCCUAACUAACAUGAGCUGUUAAUCAUAUGAGUUGAACAAUUUCUGCAAAAGGUAACACGUCCAAACUUGGAGUACAACUCCCCCCGUCCCAUAUUAGUUGUCGUUGAAAUGGAUGUGUUUUAGUGCUUCAUGCAUCCGUUUGAGCUAAAAAUAAUAUGGAACGAUGGGAGUAUUAUCUACUUCAUUCUUUCCAAAAUAUAAGGCAUGCUACUUUUUUGAACAGUUAGACAUCUUUAUAUUGGACCAAGUUUAUGGGGAUUUUUUUUCAGUAUCUAGAAUGCCAAAUGAAUACAAUAUGGAAUACAUUCCGUGGUGGAUCUAAUGGACUACUUUGGCAAUGUUGGUAUGGAACUUUUUUCUCUGAAACUUGGUUAAAUAUAGAAAGUUGAACUUAAAAAAAAUACACCUUAGAACGAGAGAUUCCUAGGUUGACUGAGAGGCUAUUGUUCAACACUAUUACAGUACCGCUUUCCCGUCUCUGUUGGCCACUGCUUCAUAUCCUCCACGCCUUCAAAUUUUGAUGUGUUUCUACAUGGUAUAGUCUCGAACAGAGUUUGAAUAAUACCCCUCCGUUGGGAUACAUAGGACAUAUUUUGGCUGGUUAAUAAAAGAAUUGACAAAUAACUAUAUUUGUAUGCGGUUUAUGAGAUACAAAAUCACGGUACUAAGUAUAAUUAAUGCUAUAAAUGAAAUGGCAUAGAAGAAGGGAACCUAGUUCUUAUAUCUUUUUUUUCUUUACGAAUGAAGCUCCAAUAAUGCACCAGCGAAAAAGGGAACAGUGAGAUCUAGCGUUGCUGUUGCUGUGUGCAACUUCCGUGACCCACGUCAAUUCAACAGUUACGACCAAUAAUAGAGAAGAUGAUAUUUUACCAGAAAGUAGCUAAGCAAAGGCUUUCAUUUUACUGGAGGUUGGUGCACGUUAUUUUGUCAAGAUAUUUUUCGACAAGGGGAAUAUUUUGUCAAGAUCUACAAACAGUAAUUCAGCAAAGAGCUCUGCAGUGGCCCUGGCGACUGAACUCACUGUUCUAACUUUGUGGCAAUGAAACUAUGGAAAUCUGCCACACACAAGAAUAUGCUGGCGUCCAUUUGUAAAGACAGAUCAAAACAUACUUUGUGCAUUCUCUUUCUAUGUAUCUAAGAAAAAACCGGAGAACAUUGGAGCAGAUGAAUAGCGGACGGAAUAUCCUCCAAAAUGCACAAAAAAAAACAGUUUUAGUGAGUAUCGAACAUAUAUUCUUGUGCAUGUUAUAAAAAAGGAAUUUUGAAAUUGCUACUUCUAAUUUUCUACAUGUUGUUCAUAUGCACAUGGUUAAAGUUUGUGUUGCACAAAAAGCUGCCAGAAACUUGUCGUCUAAAUAGAAAUGUAAUUUUCCAGUUGAGCCGAUAUUUUUUGUUGGAUAGAGACAAUGGUUGAAGAUCGUCAACUAACUAAUAGUAAUAAACUUCAUACUUUCCUAAAAAAAAGGUGCAUACAAACUUUUUUCUGAGAGAAAAAGUUCACACAAACUUAUAUGUAGUUGCAUAUAAAAUCACAUAUUAAUUCAGCUGGGCGAGUUAACCUACCUUGACAUUUCCGGCUUCCUUGAUGGCCUCCAGCAGCUUGAGCUGCAGGUGGAGGUUGUGGCUACGGAAGUGAACCCCGGACAUGGCCGAGACCACCACGUCCACCUGCUUCACGGCGGCGACGAGGCCCCGGUGGUCGUCGAGCGACGCCUCCAGGAGCCGCGCUCCCUGCGCCUUGAACGACAGCAGCAUCUGGAGCUUGUCGAUGUCGAGGCCAAUCUCCGGCCUCAUCAACAAAUAGGUCUUGUGGCCCUGAGCUAAGCUCGCCUUCACGAUCCUCCUGCCGAUGUAGCCAGUGCCUCCAACGACAAGAACCCUGCUCUUCUCCAUGCCUCACAAAGAAGAAGAUAGAUGCAAAUCGCUGCUUGCCGGAUGCCACUUUCCACCGAUGCCUGGUGUGGUGUGUUGACCUGGUUGGGACCUUCACAAGAUAUGGUAGGUUGGUUACAUUACGUGUACGGCCCUAGCUGAUAUUGUGCAUCACUCUAUCAGUACCAUCAUGGUGGUUGAUUUUGAGGCCGCAUUGAUGAGCUGUCGUUUAUUUGAUGUACUCCUACCUACUUUUAUUAUAAGCACAUGUGAUUUAUGGCUUGUAAACUUGUGAGCUCAGCUGAUACAGUUCACGCAUGUUACAAAGUUCCAUCCGCGAUUGUACUCGACUUAAACUUACCGUUGAAAAUCUCAAAAGGUAACAUAAGGCAUCUCCAACUGCGUGCCCUAAAUCGGACACACUAAACGUCUGCAGACACGGAUAAGGGAGCCGGCCAUAGAAAAGACCAAACAUCCUCCCAUAUUUCAAACAGAGAUUGAACAAAAAUGAUGAAAUCCAUGCAAACCUGAGGAAAUUGAACCAAGUUCAUAUAUCACAUUCAAACCAGGCGAUAUUUGGCAAGUUCAACUAAAAUUUAAAAAACCAAAUGAAACUACGCGAGAUACAAGACGGUGACGGCUUUAUCUGCUCCAUCAUACGCGUGGCCUCCAUGGCCGGCGCUCCUUCAUCGUUGUGGCGGUUUUCCCAACGAUAUUAGGGCGCAUAGGGACUACAACAAUCCUAAUUGACCGCCACCUAGCUCUCCCGUUGUAGCCGAUCAGCUUCCUCUGCCACCUGACACAUGGCCGCGUCAGCCGUUGACGCCGACCCAGGCCUUGCCUUUGCCAACGACGAGGGCGGCAAUGUGCAGAGACUCGUCCACCACAAUCUUGACGAGAUGGUCGCUGAGGCGGCACCAGCACCGCUCGGACGUCUCCACGGUGGUACUCGACCAGUCCUCAUGCCAGGCCCACGUGAGGUCCACUGGUGGAAAAAGGGUCAAAUGUGAAGCACAUUAGUGCCGGUUUGAUUUUGAGCCGGCACUAAUGUGUCCGUUAGUGUCAGUUCCAACGGCUAGCCGGCCGCUCUUAUUAGUACCGGUUCGUGGCGAACCUUCCACAAACCGGUACUAAAGUGAGUAGUGGCAGGAUGUUGUCAGUCUGGGCCCCUCCAGUACCUUUAGUACCGGUUUGUGUUACAAACCGGUACUAAAGGUCAUCCUACAUAAACCCUUCGCCCACCCGAGCUCGCUCUGUUCUUCCCUUUCCCCUCUCCUCCUCUGUUCUUCCCCUCUUCCUUGAGCUCAUCACAAAUUUUGCCCAAAAUUUGUCAAGAUUUGAAGGCCCCCAUCCAUUCAAAUGAUCACAAAGGUUAGCAACUUUGUCCUUUCAUCUCUUAUUGCUAGAUUAGCUCUUGCAAUGCUUUGUAUAGUGAUUAAUUUGUGAGUUUAGUAAUUUGGAAGGAAUUAUAUGUGCUAGUAUUUGAUUUAUAUGCAAUUUGAGGUCAAAAAUAACACUUAGUUUGCAUAUGUAGGUGUGGUUUACUUAGUGCCUUCUAAAUCUCCGUCGUAACCACCGUCGAUCGCCUGCACCGUCCCGUCGUCGGCACCACCUUGUGGUGAGGCUCUUGUUCAUGAGUGUUUUACAUUACCAAAUUGAUGUUGGUGUGAUUUGGAUAUAUAGUUACUCGUAUAAUUAUCUUACCCGUACGUUGUUUGUUAUACAUAGUGCCAUGGUUUUGAUAUCCGUCCCCGUCGGCCCUCGUCCUUGUUAUGAUCCGGAUGUGGUAUAUUCUCUUUUAAAACUAGUUGUUGCAUUUCGUGUUUAUGACAAAUUAUGCCCAUCAAGUUGACAUGGAUAUUUUUAUCUAGGAGGUAUGUGAACCGGAAAUUCCAACCGACCCUAUUGUCGAGAGGUUAAAUUUAGUUGAAAGAGAAAACGAGUAUUUGAAAGAAAAAUUGAAAAGAAUUGAGGGGGAGAAGAUGGAAUUGGAGUUGCAUGUUGCCGAUGUCGUCGAUGAUACAAGAUCAAGAUGGAGAAAAUGCGCUUGAAGAUUAGAAAGAUUAGAAAAUAUGCCAUUGAUAGUGAGGCUUGGUAUCAUUAUGCUGUUGGAUCAAUUGUUACCUUAGUUGCAAUCUCGAUAACAUUUGUUGUUGCGUUUGAAUGGUUUAGCUAGAGAGUUAUUUGUUUGUCGCAUUUAAGUGUUGUAUGAACUAUAUAUAUGUAUGAACUUGUAUUAAUUUGGUCUUUUUCGGUGUUGUGUAAUGAAGAUGAGCCGACAAUGGAUGUAUGAUGACCGAUGCUCUCCCGAGUUCAUUAAUGGCGUGCAUACUUUUAUGCUUGCCGUUGAGGCAAACAAGCGGGCGGAUGGUUUUAUGCCUUGUCCAUGUGCUGGCUGUAAGAAUUGUCACAAUUACUCAACAUCAAGACCAUUCACGUCCACCUAUUUGAGUCCGGUUUCAUGCCCCAUUAUAAUGUUUGGACCAAGCACGGAGAAAGAGGGGUUAUGAUGGAAGACAAUGAAGAAGAAGAGGAUGACGACAGCUAUCCUGGCCAUGGGUUCCUUGAAUACGAUAAUACAACAAUGUGGGAAGAAGCUGAGCCGGCAAUGCGGGAAGAAGCUGAAGAAGAGGCAUCAGAUGAGCCCGCUGAUGAUCUAGGUCGGGCCAUUGCCGAGGCAAAGAAAAACUGCGCACGUGAUUUGGAGAAGAAGAAGUUGCAGCGCAUGUUAGAGGAUCACAAGAAAUUGUUGUACCCGAAUUGCGAAGCUGACAAAAAAAGUUGGGCACCACACUAGAAUUGCUGCAAUGGAAGGCAGAGAAUGGUGUAUCUGACAAGGGAUUUGGAAAGUUGCUGGUAAUGAUAAAGAAUAUGCUUCCAAAGGACAAAGAAUUGCCCGAGAGUACGUAUGAAGCAAAGAAGGUUGUCUGCCUUCUAGGGUUAGAGGUGCAGAAGAUACAUACAUGCCCUAAUGACUGCAUCCUCUACCGCGGUGAGUACGAGGAUUUGAACGCUUUCCCGGUAUGUGGUGCAUUACGUUAUAAGAUUAGUCGCGAUGACCCUAGCGAUGUCGAGGGCGAGCAUCCCAGGAAGAAGAUUCCUGCCAAGGUGAUGUGGUAUGCUCCUAUAAUACCACGGUUGAAACGUUUGUUCCAAAACAAAGAGCAUGCGAAGGCGGUGCAAUGGCACGGAGAAGACCGUAAGAAAGACGAAAAGUUGAGAGUACCCGCUGACGGGUCGCAGUGGAGAAAAAUCGAGAGAAAGUACUGGGAGGAGUUUGCAGGUGACCCAAGGAACGUAUGGUUUGGUCUAAGAGCAGAUGGCAUUAAUACUUUUGGGGAGCAGAGCAGCAACCAUAGCACGUGGCCUGUGACUCUAUGUUUGUAUAACCUUCCUCCUUGGUUGUGCAUGAAGCGGAAGUUCAUUAUGAUGCCAGUGCUCAUCCAAGGUCCUAAGCAAUCCGACAAUGACAUUGAUGUGUACCUAAGGCCAUUAGUUGAAGAACUAUUGCAGCUGCGGAAUGGAAAAGGUGUACAUGCGUGGGAUAAGCACAAACAGGAAGAAUUUGACCUAAAGGUGUUGCUGUUCAUGACCAUCAAUGAUUGGCCUGCUCUCAGUAACCUUUCAGGACAGACAAACAAGGGAUACCGCGGAUGCACGCACUUUUUGGAUGAUACCGACAGUAUAUAUUUGGAUAGUUGUAGGGAAAAUGUGUACCUGGGACAUCGUCGAUUUCUUCCGAGCAGGCAUCCCGUAAGAAAGAAAGGCAAGCAUUUCAAAGGUGAGGCGGAUCACCAGACGAAGCCUCUCCACCGUACUGGUGAUGAUGUACAUGAUAUGGUCAAGGAUUUGAAGGUAAUCUUUGGAAAGGGUCUUGGCGGACAACCUGUUCGGAAGGACGCUGACAGACGCGCACCCAUGUGGAAGAAGAAAUCUAUAUUUUGGAACCUGCCAUAUUGGAAAUACCUAGAGGUCCACUCCGCAAUUGACGUGAUGCACAUGACGAAGAAUCUUUGCGUGACCCUACUUGGCUUCUUGGGCGUGUAUGGGAAGACAAAAAAUACACCAGAGGCACAGGAGAACCAGCAACGUAUGCACGGAAAAGAUGGCAUACAUCAGGGUCAGGCCAGCUACGCUCUUACCAAAGAAGAGAAGGAAAUCUUCUUUGAAUGCCUACUCAGUAUGAAGGUACCAUCUGGCUUCUCGUCGAAUAUAAAGGGAAUAAUAAAUGUGGUAGAGAAAAAGUUCCAGAAUCUUAAGUCUCAUGACUACCAUGUGAUUAUGACGCAACUGCUUCCGGUUGCAUUGAGGGGGCUUCUACCGAAAACGUUCGAUUAGCCAUUGUGAAGCUGUGUGCAUUCCUCAAUGCAAUCUCUCAGAAGGUAAUCGAUCCAGAAAUCAUACUAAGGUUAUAGAAUGGUUUGGUGCAAUGUCUUGUCAGUUUUGAGUUGGUGUUCCCACCAUCCUUCUUCAACAUCAUGACGCACGUCCUAGUUCACCUUUGCAAAGAGAUUAAUGUUUUGGGUCCUAUAUUUCUACACAAUAUGUUCCCCUUUGAGAGGUUCAUGGGAGUCUUGAAGAAAUAUAUUCAUAACCGUGCUAGGCCAGAAGGAAGCAUCUCGAAGGGCCAUGAAAAUGAGGAGGUCAUUGAGUUUUGUAUUGACUUUAUUCCUGACCUUAAGCAGAUUGGUGUUCCUGAAUCGCGGCAUAAGGGCAGACUGGAUGGAAAAUGCACGCUAGGAGGGGAUCAAAUAAUAUGUAUGGACGGGCAUUCUCUCUCUAAAGCACACUACACAGUUCUAUAGAAUUCCGCUUUGGUGGCUCCGUAUAUGGAGGAACACAAGAAUUUUCUACACUCCAAACACCCGGAGCAGUCUGACGACUGGAUUACACGUGAACAAACGAGGACUUUCGCUGGUUGGUUGCAGAAACGUGCCAUGCAUGAUGGAGAUAUUGAAGAUGACCUAUACUCGAUGUCCUAGUUAUCAUCUUCGAAUAUAAUGACUUUCAAAGGUACGAGAUAAAUGGGAAUACAUUUUACACGAUCGCCCAAGAUAAAAAGAGCACCAACCAAAACAGUGGUGUCCGCUUUGAUGCAACAACCAACACAGGAAAGGAAACAUAUUAUGGUUACAUAGAGGACAUAUGGGAACUUAACUAUGGAGGUGGUUUGAAGGUCCCUUUGUUUCGAUGCAAAUGGGUCAAUAUGACACGAGGCAGGGUAACGGAAGACCCACAGUACGGAAUGACAACAGUGGAUCUCAACAAUCUUGCGUAUGCAGACAAACCAUUCGUCCUAGCCAAUGAUGUGGCGCAGGUUUUUUAUGUGAAAGACAUGUCUAUCAGGCCAAGAAAAAGAAAAGAUAAGGAAGCAAAUGGAUCAUACGAUGAGCCAAAGCGCCACAUAGUUAUUUCAGGGAAAAGAAACAUCGUCGGAGUGGAUGACAAGACAGUCAUGUCAGAAGAUUAUGAAAAGUUUGAUGAAAUUGCUCCAUUGAAUAUUGACCCGAGCAUCCAGUUAAAUGAUGAAGAUUGUCCAUGGCUACGACGCAAAGGGACACACGUGAAGAAAAACUUCAAAGAUGCAGGAUGCAUACGACUAGAAACCCAACGUUUGUUGGGCCACAUAGUCCAUGGCCUGCAUACAGACUAGAAACCCAACGUUUGUUGGGCCAGGAUGUAGGCCUGCAAAGGCCCAGUAGGCCCACAGGACAGCAGAGAACAGGUAGGCCCAGUAGGCCUGCAUAGGAGAGGAGCUCGAGAAAGCUACCGCACUAGGGCUUAUAAACCAGUACGGACACCGCUCGGCUAGCGAGGUGGGACUAAACUUGCCGCAUCGAACCUGCGCCAGCAUAGACUUUUAGUAUCGGGUCGUAGCACCAAUCGGCACUAAAGGGGGGGGGGUCUUUAAUAACGGUUGGAGCCACCACCCGGUACUAAGGGGGGGGGGUGCUUCCCGCCGCUUGGCCUGGCUAAAACAGACCUUUAGUACCGGUUGGUGGCUCCAACCGGUACUAAAGGUGCCUUGUAUAUAAACAACACUUAUGAAAUUUUUUAGUUUUUCAUCUCUCCCUCUGCUUCUUUCUCCUCUGCCCCGUCACCGCCGCCCCUCGUCGCCGUCCCCGUCGCCGUNNNNNNNNNNNNNNNNNNNNNNNNNNNNNNNNNNNNNNNNNNNNNNNNNNNNNNNNNNNNNNNNNNNNNNNNNNNNNNNNNNNNNNNNNNNNNNNNNNNNNNNNNNNNNNNNNNNNNNNNNNNNNNNNNNNNNNNNNNNNNNNNNNNNNNNNNNNNNNNNNNNNNNNNNNNNNNNNNNNNNNNNNNNNNNNNNNNNNNNNNNNNNNNNNNNNNNNNNNNNNNNNNNNNNNNNNNNNNNNNNNNNNNNNNNNNNNNNNNNNNNNNNNNNNNNNNNNNNNNGCCAUACCCCCCCCACACACAUUAGUUUUUAAGUUAUAAAUUUUAGUUAUAGAAUUUUUUCUGUUUUUUAGUUAUAGAAAUAUCUAUAGAAAUGUUAGAAAUUUUUCUGUUUUUAGUUAUAGAAAUAUUAGAAAUGUUAUAAUUUGUUUCUGUUUUUUAGUUACAGAAAUAUUUAUAGAAAUGUUAGCAAUUUUUCUGUUUUUUAGUUAUAGAAAUAUUAGAAAUGUUAUAGAAAUGUUAGUUAUAUAUAUAGAAAUUUUAGAAUUAGUUUUAGUUAGAUGAAUUAGAUUAAUGUCAAAUUGUUAGAAAUUUUAGUUAUCACAAUCCAAUCAUUUAAAAAUGUUACUUUUUGCGGGCAUAUAGUAUUUGUUCUCGACGAUGCCCGGCCCGCAUCCUCGCCGUCGACCCGUUCGCGACGACAUCCUGCUUCAGAGGACCCGCGUCCGGGACUAGGCUCCGCCGGGCUGGCACUGGGAGGGGCGUGCCGCUUGGUGAGGAACCCGGCCUCGGGUCCCGUCGUCGACCCUGAUCUCCUUUGGUGGCGUUCGCGUGGGCCACAUUCGGUGCAGAGGGAGCCAGCCCCGCUGGAGGUGGUGUGUCACCGUGUUAGGGAGGAGGACGAGCACAUCUAUCGGUACAUGGUUGCUAUGGAUGACGUCAGGUUUUCCAAUACUUGGCAGGUUCUUUGGGCAGAUGAUCGGAGAUAUGAUCCUGUGAUGGUUCCUUCUUUUUGGGUGUCCACUGCCCGUGCCCCAGGAACCGCGAGUUUCCUAGAUUCUUCUGUAGUAUUCGAUCUUUAUUAGGUACCUAGCCAGUGAUGUAUUUGAUAUAUAAUAUUCGAGACAAUGUAUUCAAGAUUAUAUAUAUUAUUCGAGAUGAUGUAUUUGAGAUUAUAUAUUAAUCGAGAUGAUGCAUAUUAUGUACUAUAUGAUUCAGUUUUUCCUUAUUGAUUGCAUCCAUGCAUUGUAAUUUGAAUACUAAAUUGUUUUAUAUUUUUUCUGUAUUAGUUAAGUAAAAGCUAUGGCGGACAAUACCGGCAGAGAGAGAGAGAAGAGGAAUUGUUCGAGAUCAUACGCAGCCCUCGCAGGCUAGAUGAUCUGAAUGAAGCAGAUGACGGCUCCCAAUAUCUGAACAAUACUGGAGAGGGUGAUGAUAAGAUAUUCAUCUCGAUGACCGAGCUGAUGAAGUCAUGAACUAUGAUUAUGAUUAUGAUGAUGCAGACAAUGUUUAUGAUGACAGAGACAAUAAUGUUGAUCUUCAAAUAACAAAGACUAAUGGCGAGGUAUAUUUAUAUAAGCAGGAAUUUGGUGAUCAUCACAUGUUUUUUUAUUUGAAGAUAUAUUAACGAAUCAAUCUUUCUUUUUUCAGCCCUCCGGAUCGAGCAAAUCUGCUUCUACAGACAGCAAGACACAGCGAGGCCCGGGAAAAAAGUUGAAGGAGGGUGUAAAGUACAACAUCGACUCCAUCAAAGCUAGUGGCGAACCCCUCACGCCUAAGAACAUUGCGAAGAAGUGGACUCGUCAGUGCGGAGUUCUUGUGAAGGACCAACUCCCGAUCUCCAUUCAAGAAUGGAAAGAGCCAAAAACUAAACGUCCAGAUGUUACUUGGGUCGACGACAGAGCAAAAAAAAACCUUUGGGAAUCUCUGAUGGAACAUUGCACCCUACCAGAUUAUUUCACUGAUGCAAAUGUGCAGAAAGCCAAGAACGCUGCUCUUAAGAAGAUGGCAAUUGCAUUCAACACCCACAAGAAAACUGUAUGGGCCAACUACCUCGCUGCAGAAAGGAAGACUCCAGAAUUCAAGGGAACACUGGAGAAGCAAAGAGAACAUUGGGGCGAUUUCAUGAAAUUCAAGGAAUUAGAAUUAUCUAAGGAACGGUCGAGGAAAAAACAAGGCCAAUGCCGCAAAAAAGACGCAGUUCCAUAGGCUGGGUCCAGGUGGCUACGCGAUGGGAGUGCCUAAGUGGGAUAAGUCUGAGCAAGAGAUGGAGGAUGCAGGGGUCACUCCGGUCACUAGGAGCUGGCCCCCCAGGUGCAGAACUUGGUUCUAUGCGCAUGGGGGGCGUUGGACCCAAAGACAGGCCUGGUUUCGAAGAAGGCAAGUCUAAAAGGGGCUGAACAAAAGAUACCUGAUGCAAUAGAAGAUGCUUGAAAGGGGGUAUUCACGCCCAACAGAGAGAACGACGAGCUUACGCGCGCCCUGGGAAAUCCUGAACACCCGAGAACAACACGAGGCAAGGGCGUUAUUCCCUGGUAUGAGGGCUUUUCGGAAUGGAACGACGACUACAGGACCCGUGCAAGAAAGAAGAUGGAGGAGGAGAAGCAGAGGAAGUAGGACACAGAACGCCUUCAAGGCCUAGAAGCAAGGCACGCGGACUUGGCACUCAAAUUCCAGCAGCAGCAGCAGCAAAUCGACUCACUUAGCCAGGAAAGGCGGUCUCAGCAGCGGCGGCAACAACGAGAUGAUCGUACAACAUUGGAUAGCACCGUCCCAUCCAUGCCGAGAAGCAGCAUUGGUUCCGCCCCGGGCGACACACUGCUGGAUAAAUACCCUGUGGAUGACAUCAUAGAGAACACUAACUGUGAGCUACACUCCAAAAUGAAGAACAUAUCCAUGAAGGUGGCGGACGCCGUUGCUUUUACAAUUACCCCCGAAGCAACCUUCCAUUGCACCCCGAUUCCAGAGGGCUAUGCUCGUGUCAUUGUUGAUGAAGUGGUGGAGCCAUAUUCGAGGCUAGCACUUGACAUUCCUGGAGGUGACGACGAGCGCACACUGGGAGAGGCCAUACAUCGUAUCAUCCUAUGGAGAAAGGAUUGCAUCAUCUUUCGAAGUCCACCGACACCACGUCUGCCGACUCCUCCUCGAAGUCCGCCACCGAGUCAGCAGACUCCCGCUCCUACAAGUCCACGAACGCGUGAGCCGACUCCUCCUCGAAGUCCGCCACCUCCUCCAAGUCCACAAACGCGUGAGGCCACUCCUCCUAUUUCAAGUCCGGCACAGUGUCAGCCCACUCCUCCUGCUCCAACUCAGUCACGUCAGUCGUAUCCACCGUCUCAGCAAUCCCAGAAGAGACACGCCGCAGCUAUGGUGCGUAGCGGUACGAGUCGAGGUAGUACAGGAAGUACAGGCGGAGACAAGCGAUAUAAAUAUGGUUCAAUCCUCGAUCCUCUUCCUCAGAGGCCUUACGACAUGACCGAGGAGAAAAACGUAGCAAUAGUGCAGGCCCAAGUGGACGCCCAUUUGGCACCGAAACCGGCACCACCGCCAAGGGAGAAAGUGCCUGAGAAAGUUAUUGACCACUUUAUUCAUAUGGCAAGAAAACCAGCUCCCAAGCCUGUUGACUUAGACUAUGAGCACCAAAUCAGGAAGCUACAUCGAGCACGGCUACAAAAGGAAGCGAGCUCGAGCUCAAGCCAACAAGCAGCUGUCAAAAAAGCGGGAAAACCGUUCCCCAGCUGGGAGAAUAGGUGGCGCAAUCGAUACCCCCGCUUGUUGUGCCAACACCACAUGAGAGUAUGCACGCCCGAUAUUAUUAUGGGCAAACCGUUAACGUUCCCCAGCUAGGCGAUAUGGUAAUAACCGAGGAGCAUAUAAUGUAGGCUGAAAUGCUCAAGAUCACUGUUGGACAACUCCUCGAAAUCGAGUCCAUGUCUCCGCUUAGAGAGGAGGAAAUAAAACGGAAAUAUGUCCGGGGCCAUCCUUUGGUCGAGCCAGACAAGGUCAAGAACCUCCCAAUGAGAACGCAUGAAUUGCAUCAAUGGUACAUGAACAUUACCAAGAUUUCCAAUCGAGUGUCCCUCAUGGUGAAUGUCAAGGAGGAGCAUUACUUCCAUGAGAAAGCUCUGUCCAUUGAGUAUUCAGAACUAUUUCAGUUAUACAAUCAAGACGCACUCAGUUGCUAUUGUCUGUAAGUGAUUUCUUUCUGUAAUUUAAGUCUCAAGCUAGUUGUAGUGAUUAUUUUGAUCAAUCAUUACAUGUAAUUAUCCUCACUAUAAUCUUUUCUGUGGUAUUAUAUGCAGGAUGAAGAUGUAUGAAAUAAAAAAAAAUCUGGACGCUAUGGCAUUGUGUUCAUUGACCCGAAUACCAUUAAUGAGUACACAUAGAAUCUUCCAACUUAUUGAGCAAGUUUAGAGGAAAGCAUGAUAGAGUUCUUCAAGCGCCUUAAUACCAAUGAAGAUAUACUACUUCUUUACAACUUCCUAUGAGUCACACUGUCUUGUACUACAAAUUCAGUUUUUGCUUACUAGCUAGCUAGAUGUUAGUUGAUUAGUGUUAUGCACAUGCCCGCUUAAUUAAUACAUGCAAACAUGUGGGCAUGCAGUUUCCACUGGAUCUUGUUAGACAUUAAAGUUGAGAAAGGAAAAGUUGAAGUACUGGACUCACUACUUAAAGAAGACAAUGACUACACCAUCGUGAAGGGGAUAGUCAACAGAUAAUUUCAAUCAUUAUUAAUUAACUAUAUCUCGUCCUAUUUAGUUUGUCAUUUCCUGAUAUGAACUAUUUAAUAACACAUUUAUUCAUUUUCUUUGCCGGUGGGCAGGGCUUGGGCAAAGUUCAUCAAGGUGACUCCAGGCAAAUGGGCAAAAAAGUUGUUUUGGUAUCGACCAAAGGUAAGUAAUUAAGUAGCUACCUAGCUAGCUACCAUCUCUUUAAUUCUUAUUUCAAUAACAUUAAUGAAUUAUCAUGCUUGAUUAAUCAUUAUCUGAUUCAAUUCCAUUCUCGUAAAGGCCCUGAAGCAGACGCGCGGGGAAAUGAUCUGUGUGCAUACUACGUUUGUGAGAACAUUCACAUGAUGGCGUCCGAAAGGAGCAGAUCUCAAAGACAGGACUGGGUACGUUUAUCAGAACACUAUUCACACCAUUAUCGAUAUCUAGUCACACGACUAAUACACAUGCAUAUUGAUCUCCUUAACAGUUUAGAGAGGUGUGGGAGCAGCUCGUACCAACGGACCGCAUACUAGCACUUCAAGAGGAAAUAGCGGGAUUUUUGCUUGACCAGGUCAUAGAUCCCAAAGGAGAAUACUAUUAUCCGCUACCGCCCCCAUGAACCAUUUGUCAUCGUGCUCUGAAGGCACCAAGGCAACAUGUAGGAGAAAUUAUGUGUAUAUAUAUAUAUAUAUAUAUAUAUAUAGGACAAAUGUUUCCUACAAGCAGUGGUAGUUACCACCACUUGCAUUUUGUAUGUUGUAUGUAGUAUCUGUCAAAAUUGAGAGUAUGUACGUGUAGUAUGUAGUAUAUAACAAUGAUUAGGUAGUAUAUAUACUGAUUUUUAGGUAGUACAUACCAUAUUUUGAGUAUACUCUUUUUUACAUACAAAUAUGUACGUAUUUCACAAAUAUAACAAAAACUAUUGGUUCAUAUACAAUUUUUUCAUAUAACUUGCUUUGAAAUAUCUUAGAUAUAGUAUAUGAAUAUAUUUAAANNNNNNNNNNNNNNNNNNNNNNNNNNNNNNNNNNNNNNNNNNNNNNNNNNNNNNNNNNNNNNNNNNNNNNNNNNNNNNNNNNNNNNNNNNNNNNNNNNNNNNNNNNNNNNNNNNNNNNNNNNNNNNNNNNNNNNNNNNNNNNNNNNNNNNNNNNNNNNNNNNNNNNNNNNNNNNNNNNNNNNNNNNNNNNNNNNNNNNNNNNNNNNNNNNNNNNNNNNNNNNNNNNNNNNNNNNNNNNNNNNNNNNNNNNNNNNNNNNNNNNNNNNNNNNNNNNNNNNNNNNNNNNNNNNNNNNNNNNNNNNNNNNNNNNNNNNNNNNNNNNNNNNNNNNNNNNNNNNNNNNNNNNNNNNNNNNNNNNNNNNNNNNNNNNNNNNNNNNNNNNNNNNNNNNNNNNNNNNNNNNNNNNNNNNNNNNNNNNNCCACACCUAACCCCCGGUCGCCUCACCUUCUCCCGUGCCGUCCUCCCCAACCCCGGUCACCUCCCUUCCGAUCUCCGCCGGCCACGCCACUCCACCGCCCCAGCACCCGCAGAGGGCGCGCCUUCAUCUACCAGCGAUGGUGGCCUCACCGCCUCGCCGACGCGUGGAUCCAGCACCGCACGCAACCGCCCCACCUUGAUCUGCCGCCCUGCCCUCCCCACGUUCUCUGGCGAGGUGAGCCUCACUUCCCACUAUAUCUUCUUCCCCAUCUGCGUAUGGCACCCUCCCACCUUCUUCCACCCCGCGCCCGCCGCCCUCCACGGCCCCCUCCCUGGCCCCACCGCGCGAUGCCGGCCCACCCCGUCAACGGCCUCAGCCCCGCCCAGCCCUUGAUGCCGUCCGGCGCCCCUGCCUCCGACCAAGCCUGACGACACUGCCGCGAACAAUUCCAACCUGCCCACCGCCCCGGGGUUGAUGCAGGCGCGCCGCCCUCAAGCGUCACACGCGGCUGCUGGUGUGGAUCUGGCCCGCGGCCACGGGAUCAGGGCGGAGCUGGCCCUGCUGCGCCAUUAGCAGACGGGAUCGAGCAGCAACUGUCGUUGACCCACGCAUGCUCCCUCGCCGAUGGCCCUGGUCCGUUUAUCCACGGUUUCUCGUGACCCUCAGGUCGUCGGGAUCGAACGGGCUGCCCCGCAUCGGUGCCUCUUCGCGCAUCUGCGGGCGUCCAACCUCACGCCCGGACGGUUGGCUGCCGCCUGCGGUAGCCGUGGACCCGUGGUCCAAGGCCGGAGGAGCUCCACCUCACCUGCAGCCGCCCAGAGUGCGCCAAGACAGUCAACGACGGCGCCGGCAUCCUGGGAACACGAGUUGCCGCCGAUGCAGUUCGCAGAAGGCCUUUUUUCUCUUUGUUUUUGCAGAUUUUGGAUGUGCACUUCAUCUUGUGCGCAACUUUUGGAUGUGCAGUUGCCCAAUGCAGUGCGCUUCCGAUUUCCGCCACCUGCUUGAUGAAUGAAAGAAGUCAUACUGUUAUUGAUUUGAGAAAAAAAAUGCAGAACAAAUUCGGUGGUUGCCUCGGCCGAGGGAGCCCUCUCCGCGGCUCAGUGAAGUUUGUUUUUGCGGCUCACUGAAGUUUGUUUUGCAGCUCGCUUGCUGAGUGAAGUACGUCCGGCGACUGUGCACGGUUCGGCAACGCAAAGCAUUUGCAUUCUCGCUGUGUUGAUGUGUGCAGUACAUUUUAUAAAAAGUUGCAGUUGGGUUGUAUUUUGUGGGUGAUUGUAAUGUGGAGACAGAAAAAAGGACUUUGUGUGGAUUACUUAGUUUGUAAAAUAAAAACUUGGUAAAAGCAGUGCGCUCGGUGAACCGAAGAAGUACAUUUUUUUCAAAUUGUUGUACUUCAUUGUUAAAAUCUUUGUGGUUCCCUUAUUUCAGUGCACACGAAAGUAAAAAUGCAUUGGGAGCUGCAGUGCACUUUGUUAUUGCGUACGCACGAUGAUUUUCAGUCUAUUUGAUGCAGUGCGGUUUUGGUCUGAAGCAGUGCACUGAUCUAUCUGAUGCAGCAUACUUCAUUGUCGCGUACACACGAUGAUUUUCACUCCGUUUUGAUGCAGUGCGGUUUUGAUCUGAAGCAGUGCACUCAUCUGUCUGAAGCAGUGCACUUCGUUCGUCGUGUACGCAUGACAAUUUUCAGUCUAUCAGAUGCAGUGCGGUUUUCAGUCUGAAGCAGUGCACUAUCUUUCUGAUGCAGUGCACACGACGAUUUGGGUGUCGCAAAAAACAGCAUAUCCGCAUUUUUGUAAAAUCGAAACUGCUCUUAAGCCAUAAGGAAUUAGCGGAAGAGUUGUAUAUGAAAAAGUUGCGACUCGUCGAUAUAUUUCCAACGGGGUAUGAUUUGAAUUAUUCCAACCAGCAGUUCGUAAAAACUUCACGAAAAAACAGCCGCUGCCUCUUGAAGUCAGCCGCACGAUUUUCAAAAUUAACUAAAAAUUGUAAGGAUUCUCAAAACCAUUUCAACAUAUGGAAGUUGCGCCUUGUCCGUAGCUUUCCAAGGGCGUAUCAUAUGUCUCGUUUUGACAAACGGUUAGAAAACUGGAGCAAAAACAGUACCAAAAAUUUCAAAAAAAUUGAAAAAAAGAGUUCUGCGAUUUAGUAAAUUCGAAACUGCUCUUAAACCGUAAUGAAUUAGAGAAAGAUUUAUAUAUGAAAAAGAUGCGCCUCGACGAUAUCUAUCCAACGGCGUAUCAUUUGCUUCAUUCCGACAAGCGGUUUAGAAAAAAACGCGAAAAAACGCUCGCUGUCACUCGUCAUCCGCCGCACUAUUUUCAAAACUGCUCUUAAACCGUGUGGAAUCUCGAAAAGUGUUCAACAUGUCGAAGUUGCGCCUAAUCCACAGCUUUUCAAUGGUAUAUUACACGUCUCAUUCCGAUAAACGGUUAAAAAAUUAGAGCGAAAACAGUACCGAAAAAAUAACACGUGCAGUUUUUUCCGACGAGAAGUUCACUAGUCUCUAUUGCAGUGCUCGUCGUCAAAUGAUGCAGUGUGUUUCUGUUGAGCGUGCAGUGCCGAAGUGGUAUGCAGAAUAGUUAUUCUGCUAAUAUUAGCAGAAUAGACCGUCUGAAUAUAUAUAUAUAUAUAUAUAUAUAUAUAUAUAUAUAUAUAUAUAUAUAUAUAUAUAUAUAUAUAUAUAUAUAUGUAUGUGUGUGUGUGAAAAAUUAAUGGUGUUGGUUGUGAGACAUUCGAUGAUAUAUAUUUAUAUAUGUGCGGUUCUACGAGAAAAUCUGUUUAUAUAUAUGCAUAACGUGUACAAUAUGUAGUAUCGAAAAAUACCAGCAAANNNNNNNNNNNNNNNNNNNNNNNNNNNNNNNNNNNNNNNNNNNNNNNNNNNNNNNNNNNNNNNNNNNNNNNNNNNNNNNNNNNNNNNNNNNNNNNNNNNNNNNNNNNNNNNNNNNNNNNNNNNNNNNNNNNNNNNNNNNNNNNNNNNNNNNNNNNNNNNNNNNNNNNNNNNNNNNNGUGCCACGUGGUCGCCCUUUAGCGCUGGUUCGUGAUAAACCGGUACUAAAGGGGGGGGGGGCUUUAGUCCCCACUCUUUAGUGUCGGUUGCCGAACCGGCACUAAAGGCCCUUACCAACCGGCGCUAAAGCCCGAUUCUGCACUAGUGGUCGGGUCCAUGAGGACCCAGUCGGGCGUGACGUCCGGCGCGUCGGUCGCUGUCAGGGUGCUCCCGAACAACGUGUUGCCACCGUUGUGGUCGAGGUAAUGCAUGAGGCACCCACACAUUCGCGAGCGACGGGGAGGGCUCCUCCUCCUUCUUCCCAGAUAGAAUCAUAUACAACGUGUAUCUUGAAAGCUAAUUUCAUUGGCGUACAAUCCAAAUAAUUUAGAAGUCUAUUACAGCAAAUACAAAACCAAUAAGAAAUAUUUUAUAAGUUCAAAGUUACAAGAAAUAUAAUCCCAAUUAUUUCAAACUGAUGGAGUCUUCAUUUCAGUUUACAUUGAACUCUUUUCUUAUUCUAGACAUCUCCAUGGAACCUAUAGACAGUACAUAACACAUAAUUUGACUUGAUUAUAACUUGAAUAACUAUGCCCUAGUUGAGUAACUUAUUAGUAAAUCUUUCUCCAAACAUAGAUGUUGUUUAUUCUUUAGCAUGUGUUGUUGUUGUUGUUGAGCUUGCAUGAAUAUAGUUCAGGUUCAUAAUGUUUUUUGUUACAAAUAGCGUUUCAUGUACUCAUCCAUCCUGGUGUACUGAACAUCUGGGUAGAGUAGAGAAGCUUCUUCUUCCUCAUUGUCUUUGAUGUCAAAGUUUGUCAAGCAACCCUCAUAGAAAAUGUGGUAGAAAUGCCCUACCCCAACUUGAUUAGUAAGGUCCGUACCUGCAUGAGUAGACCAAUAGGUAUGAUAAUUGGGGCAAAACUAGGUUUUACAUGUUUUUUAUUUAUCGAAAUGAUGGUUUCAAAUAAUAAGUUAUCUAGCUGGUCUUAAAUGAUGUAUAAUGUUAAAGAUUGUAUAAUUACUAAUUACACACAACACACUAAAAUUAACAAAAUCGCUUGUGGAGGGAAGCAUAUUUCUCACAUAUAUUUAAUUUGCACCUGAUUAUAAUCAAAAUGAUCACCUACGUGACUUCGUUGAUCAUUUAGUUCAUGCAGACUGUUUUCAUUUUUGGAGAACUUUGAUUGCUAUGUUCGGUACGAGUUAAAAAAAAUCAUUUCAUGACCAAUUUAAAUUUGAACUAUUAUUGUAAUGGAACAAUGUUUCAUCUAGCCAAUAUAAAUAGUUUCCUUAUAAUAUAUAAUUGUUUCAGAAAAGAUAUAAUAAUAAUGGAAUAUGAUAGUAUUGCUCAUUGUAGUUGACGAAAUCAUGCACUUAAUUCUAAAUUUGUACGCACACACGCACGCACAACGUAUGCCUUCUUUAUUAAUUGUGUGGGGCUGAGGGGUGGGGGACAAGGCUUGACUUCACUUCAUGUUCAAACAGAAAAAUUAACCUGUUAUCUUAAUGAGGAGGCAAAUAGCUCAAAAAUGUUAGGCGGCAAGAGAUAAUUCCUACAGAAAAAGAAGCAAAAUUUCUCACUCACUCCCUCACAUUUUCAAAAGAAGUUUACCAUUAUUCUGUAGUACACGUCCUAACAUAUCCCUCCACCAGGAUAAACCAUUCUAUGCAACUAUUUGAAAAUUUAUUUUCACAUAGUUAAUUCCAUGUCCUAGAAAGAAGAUGUCGAUAUUUUCCUGGGAAAUUCUAUGUGGCCCUUUCACCAUACUACUAAAGCUGAGUUUACAAUACUUCAUGCCCAACCAAUAUAUGUUUGUUUUCUUACCUAUCAUUGACGCCAAGAAUUCAUCACUCUGAAUGGGAAUUUUCUGAAGAACCUUUCCUGAGAGGUUUUCCCAUUUAGCAAUCAGCUCAUUUUGACUAAGGAUGUUUUCUGUCGGUCUUAGGUAUAUUGUCUUGUUCAAGGCCCGUGGAUCAUCAAUCGACUUGAUUGUGUAUGUUGCAACAUCUUUUUCGUCCAGGAAUAUCCCUACAUAGUUUGUAUGACCAUAUAUUCAGAAGUAGAAAUGUCAAGAGAGCCAGAUACGCCUAGGAGUCAUACAGCUAGGAUAAAAUAAUGCUACAUCUAGUAAUGUUUACAUUGGUUCACCUUUGAUGUUGCCAUCCCCAUAUACAUAAACUUUCUCUUUGGGUGGAAGUAGGGUACGCAUUUGACCAAGGUUAGCACCAAAGUAAGCUGCAAAGCAGUUAGCAGAAAUAUAGGUGUGGGGAAUGUUUGCUUCUUCUAUCGCCCUUCUUAUCUCCAUCUUCUCAUCAAAUGUGAUCCUUCCUGGUUCAAGGGCAUGCCCCAUCCUUGCUG